This 485-nucleotide ribosomal RNA is filed under the name uncultured bacterium. Its description in RNAcentral is "bacterial SSU rRNA". It matches the Rfam family "Bacterial small subunit ribosomal RNA", at positions 29 to 506 of the family's 1533-position model. The record is from RNAcentral.
AAUGAACGCUGGCGGCGCGCCUAAUACAUGCAAGUCGAGCGAGAAGACGUAGCAAUACGUUUGUAAAGCGGCGAACGGGUGAGGAAUACAUGGGUAACCUACCCUCGAGUGGGGAAUAACUAGCCGAAAGGUUAGCUAAUACCGCGUACGCUUCUUGGACUUCGGUUCAGGGAGGAAAGCGAUGCCGAGGGUAUCGCGCUCUUGGAUGGGCUCAUGUCCUAUCAGCUUGUUGGGAGGUAACGGCUCACCAAGGCUUCGACGGGUAGCUGGUCUGAGAGGACGAUCAGCCACACUGGCACUGCGACACGGGCCAGACUCCUACGGGAGGCAGCAGUAAGGAAUAUUGCGCAAUGGGCGAAAGCCUGACGCAGCGACGCCGCGUGGGGGAUGAAGGUCUUCGGAUUGUAAACCCCUUUCGGGAGGGAAGAUGGAAUGGGGUAACCCAUUCGGACGGUACCUCCAGAAGCAGCCACGGCUAACUUCGU